RNAcentral lists this ribosomal RNA (253 nucleotides) under uncultured bacterium. Its description in RNAcentral is "partial 16S ribosomal RNA". It matches the Rfam family "Bacterial small subunit ribosomal RNA", at positions 524 to 776 of the family's 1533-position model. The record is from RNAcentral.
UACGAAGGGGGCUAGCGUUGUUCGGAUUUACUGGGCGUAAAGCGCACGUAGGCGGAUCGUUAAGUCGGGGGUGAAAUCCUGGAGCUCAACUCCAGAACUGCCUUCGAUACUGGCGAUCUAGAGUCCGGAAGAGGUGAGUGGAACUCCUAGUGUAGAGGUGGAAUUCGUAGAUAUUAGGAAGAACACCAGUGGCGAAGGCGGCUCACUGGUCCGGUACUGACGCUGAGGUGUGAAAGCGUGGGGAGCAAACAGG